Molecule: transfer RNA, 77 nt
Filed under: Acidobacteriota bacterium
Lineage: Bacteria; Pseudomonadati; Acidobacteriota
Description: Acidobacteria bacterium (soil metagenome) tRNA-Arg
Rfam family: tRNA
About the family: Transfer RNA (tRNA) molecules are approximately 80 nucleotides in length. Their secondary structure includes four short double-helical elements and three loops (D, anti-codon, and T loops).
Source: RNAcentral
GCGCCCCUAGCUCAGUUGGAUAGAGCGACUGGCUACGAACCAGUAGGUCGGGAGUUCGAAUCUCUCGGGGCGCACCA